AUUUAUAUAGUUUAUUUAAAACAUUUUAUUUUCAAUAAAAAAAUAUAUAUUAUAUUAUAAAUA
This 63-nucleotide transfer RNA is filed under the name Stenopirates sp. HL-2011. Its description in RNAcentral is "tRNA-Glu". The record is from RNAcentral. Lineage: Eukaryota; Metazoa; Arthropoda; Insecta; Hemiptera; Enicocephalidae. RNAcentral also lists the same sequence under 1 other name.